This 253-nucleotide ribosomal RNA is filed under the name uncultured bacterium. RNAcentral describes it as "partial 16S ribosomal RNA". It matches the Rfam family "Bacterial small subunit ribosomal RNA", at positions 524 to 776 of the family's 1533-position model. The record is from RNAcentral.
UACGUAGGGUGCAAGCGUUAAUCGGAAUUACUGGGCGUAAAGCGUGCGCAGGCGGUGAUGUAAGACAGAUGUGAAAUCCCCGGGCUCAACCUGGGAACUGCAUUUGUGACUGCAUCGCUGGAGUACGGCAGAGGGGGAUGGAAUUCCGCGUGUAGCAGUGAAAUGCGUAGAUAUCGGAAGGAACACCAGUGGCGAAAGCGGCUUCCUGGUCCAGCACCGACGUUCAGGCACGAAAGCGUGGGGAGCAAACAGG